RNAcentral lists this ribosomal RNA (141 nucleotides) under uncultured bacterium. RNAcentral describes it as "partial 16S rRNA". It matches the Rfam family "Bacterial small subunit ribosomal RNA", at positions 355 to 511 of the family's 1533-position model. The record is from RNAcentral.
UGGGGAAUUUUCCGCAAUGGGCGAAAGCCUGACGGAGCAAUGCCGCGUGGAGGUGGAAGGCCUACGGGUCGCCAACUUCUUUUCUCGGAGAAGAAACAAUGACGGUAUCUGAGGAAUAAGCAUCGGCUAACUCUGUGCCAA